AUUGAACGCUGGCGGCAGGCCUAACACAUGCAAGUCGAGCGGAUGAAGGGAGCUUGCUCCUGGAUUCAGCGGCGGACGGGUGAGUAAUGCCUAGGAAUCUGCCUGGUAGUGGGGGAUAACGUCCGGAAACGGGCGCUAAUACCGCAUACGUCCUGAGGGAGAAAGUGGGGGAUCUUCGGACCUCACGCUAUCAGAUGAGCCUAGGUCGGAUUAGCUAGUUGGUGGGGUAAAGGCCUACCAAGGCGACGAUCCGUAACUGGUCUGAGAGGAUGGUCAGUCGCACUGGAACUGAGACACGGUCCAGACUCCUACGGGAGGCAGCAGUGGGGAAUAUUGGACAAUGGGCGAAAGCCUGAUCCAGCCAUGCCGCGUGUGUGAAGAAGGUCUUCGGAUUGUAAAGCACUUUAAGUUGGGAGGAAGGGCAGUAAGUUAAUACCUUGCUGUUUUGACGUUACCAACAGAAUAAGCACCGGCUAACUUCGUG
RNAcentral lists this ribosomal RNA (484 nucleotides) under uncultured bacterium. RNAcentral describes it as "partial 16S ribosomal RNA". It matches the Rfam family "Bacterial small subunit ribosomal RNA", at positions 30 to 507 of the family's 1533-position model. The record is from RNAcentral.